AUCUACAGGCAGCUUGAUUUUCCUCUCCGACCUCACUUCAAGUCUAUGUAGGUCAGUCAACCCUGGUGUGUCACACUGACUCACUGGGGCCUGCAACACGUACAGAGGGCGCUGUCACUGGUGUCGGAGUGAGGAAGGGCACAGACGCACAUUCUUGUGUCAACACAUUGCACUGGUAAGAGUGUAUGUCCUCGCACAGAACAAGAUCAACACGGUUGUUGAACUUCGACCUCGCGUUCAGGAGCUGGCUGAGGGUCGAGCAUUCCUGUAUUGCAGGUCGAUAGCUAAUGUCUCAAAGGCUCCCUCAUCAAAAGAUCGUGUCUUUGGAAAGAUUCGAUGUGAGUACGUUAAUUAUGUUGGUGAUAACUUAUUCCAGGCUUUGUCUUCACUACUGUCGAAAUCGGUAGAAGUGAGAAGACACGAAGAUAUGAAGACGGGUGAUUCGAUGGCGCAUUGGUGAACCACUAAAAGAAUGCAUGAGGAUCUGGGGUUGUGUGUUCAAAUCCCACCCUACCAUGUGUAAUUUUCCUCUCGUCAAGACUCCUGGCUACACAAUUAUACUGCCUCUGGAUUCUUAGAUUAACACCAAAAACCAAACUGAUACGUCACCCUAGUCUGGUGAGAUCGUGUCCAGGUACCCUAUUCUUGGUCAGUAGUGAUGACAAUGGCUUGUAGUAACUAAUCAAAGAGUCGUAUAAGGACUGAUGAAGUUUUCUUUAUGUCCAGCGCCGGUCAGUUGACGAUGACGACGACCACACCACCAGAGAAUCAGUGCAUCAGUAUAUGCCACACAUUUCCGUUACUCCAUGGUUCUUCACAGUUACAUCCCCUUGUACGAGAGUUAUGUCCUCAUUGUGCCUGCGUCGGCCUUCUCUGUACAGUCAUCAAAAGCUUUGGGAAAAUUGAUUUCUAAAUGAAGGACUAGCAGACAUGGCCACGUCGGAACAGCUGCAGCAUCUCGUAACCCAGUGGCGUCAGAGAAUUCAGGAUCUCUAUCCUGACCGUCACAAUCGUGUCUAUACCCUGCCUUUUGUCCACUUCCGAAAGUCCCCUUCGUACUGUCAUCUUUUGCUGGACAACCUGUUCUAAUAGCCCACAGCACCUCCCACUCCUACCUCGGAGAACGAAAACAAAAGUAUGUGAAGAAAUCCCAGGAGACUUAUGUCGGAUGUGGGCGCCAUUAGCUCCUCAUGUCAAACUUCCCGCCGUGUGUGACAGUGAUCUGAAGGACGACACAGCCCAGCAGGGGGUCCUCAAGUGCCUGCAAGAGUUUGGCCAAGAAAAUGGCGAGGCCAUGUUCAUCAUCUCGCAGCUCAACUUCAUAGACUACCUCAACAAGCCCUGCUACACUUCGGCCGCCGCGCACCUCAAGUACCCUCGGCCAGAGGACUUGGGUCCGAGGUUCCGUCGUGGAGAGUUCGACAUCUUGCUCGUCCACCACCAUCAUGGGCUGGUCAUCGGCGAAAUCAAGUCCGUGGGCUCCAAUGCUGUGGCCCUCAACAAGACACCAGACGAGAUGGUCGCAGACGUGGCCAAGAAAGCAGCGAGAGCCACGAGGCAGCUUGGAGAGGUCCAAGAUGGUGCUGAGGUACCUGCUCAGCGAUCUGGCUCCGGACAUCGCGUGAAGGCCACCCUGAUCGUCCUACGUCACCAGGGAGAACUUGAGACGAGUUCUAGAAGGAAACCAGCAGCUGCGCGAGGAUCUGAGCCGUUGUCUUGGCGACGCCCAAACAACAGACAUUUCCGAGGUCGUGAAGCUUUGUCUUUGUGCUGACGACCUCGCCGCUGAUGAUGGCGGCUCUUGGCAACCGUCGCACUUAGAGGAGUGGUGGACACGGCGAGUGGUGGGAGACGACGACACUUCCGGCACUUCGCAGGGCAUGUCGGAGAGGAUUUACGAUGACAUCCUAGCCAGGUUCGCCGGCCCUGCUACAACAGUCACAGUUCACUGCACACAGCGCCCUCGCGUGGAGAUUCGAACCCUCGGGGAAGCGGUGUCAGAGCUCGGAGAGCGCCUGUCCAGACUCGUCGUACGCCGGAGCAGAUUCGUCUGCUCACUUCCGGUGUGCCGCGGAUGCUAAUUAAUGGCCCGCCAGGCACUGGGAAGUCUUUGAUCCUCGUGCUGGUAGCCCUGACCUGGCUCCGUCAAGGCAAAGACGUCUUCGUCUUGAGCCUGAAACGUGGAAGUCUGGCCAUCUCGAGGCUGAUUCACGGUCAGCUGCAGAUGACCCUUGACGCGGAGGAAUCGAGGUCACAGAAGUAUGGUGUACCACAUUUGGCUGAGUAUGACCUUUUUCACGACCCUGCUGCCUACACGACUGUGUCAACACCUUGUCGUCUGCAGCACUAGAUAAAGACAUUGGGAUUAUCGUGGACGAAUACGGAUCAACAGUCAAGAAAAUAAUGCAUCUUUACAACCAUAUCGCAAGAGAGCUGCUCUCCCGGGUACCCAGUCUCCACUAUUUGGGCGGCCACCAAUGGCAACUUUUGUGUUCCAGAAGUAUUUCAAUCCGAGACUUUAACGGUACCCCUCAGGUGUGCUCCAUCUGUUCUUGAAGAAGUCACCAAGGGGAUAAAGAACACUUUUGGUGUUUGCGGAUACUCCACCGGUGCUGUCCCCAGCCCUUUCGACGGACCGAACGUUAUUCGACUUCAUCACUGUUCGUCCAGUCACCUGGUCCGCUGGCCCCUGGACUGUGAACAGUGUGGACACGACAUUGCUGCGGAACUGAAGAAACUAGGCGUUGGAAUACCGGAACCUAGCAGUGGUGUCUGCACCGAUCGCUCGCCUUCAAGCAUCGAACUCCCUUCGUGCAAGACUGUGGCGCCCCCCAGGCUUCAGUACCGGGACGUGUUCGUCCUCGCUAACAGCACCCGGUGCACGAUGACGUCAGAGAUGAAGCGGGACAGGUGACGUCACGAGCCAACGGCGUUAUCGUCGGUCUGCGAGCGGCGGGGAUUCCCACUUGCGCGGUGCAGAACGCGGAGAGCGCAUGCUCCACCUGGCGGAAGGACGUGCUGGACGCGGCCGUGGGCAGGAACGACAAGGUGACGGUGGCCGACAGGGUGGAUGUAGGCGGACUGGAGAGAAAAAUCGUCGUGUGGCUGUCGGGAAGAAAAGAGGUCUUCGAUGACAAGAUCACGGAACACCAGCUGCUUGUUCGCGGACAGAUAUUUCGCCAUGUCGAGGUGCACCACCCAGCUCAUCGUUGUGGAAGUUUCAGGUUCCUAAAUUAUCUUCCUUCAGUGCGAUCAUUGGAGAAACAUGGACUUCCGGUCUGUCGAUGGAAUAUGUAAGACUGCCGUGAUGUGGGCAGACCACAGCAAACUUCGUUGAAUCGGAUAGACUACAAUGAAGUGUCAUGCUGUGAAUAGACUAGACUGCAGUGCAGUGGGUAGACUAAGAUAGAGUGUUGUUCCCUGGAUGGACUACAAUAGAAUGUUGUUCCCUGGGUAGACUACAAUAGAUUGCCGUGCUGUGACUAGAAUACAUUGGAGUAACGUGUUGUGGGUAGACACGUUGUAGUGUGGUGCGGGUAGACUACUUUGUAUGAUAAAACUGUUCGGAGUGUGCUAUACGCUAGUCUAUAUUUUUCUUAUUGGAGGAUUAUUUUUCAACUAACACUUUGCCACAAGUCAAAGUUCUGCAAAGGAAGUGGGUUGUAUGUAUUUGAGUCUGAGUAUGGAUCACUCUGUAGAUGUAAGUAUAAAAAUUGCAUAUGAAUCUCUCUUGCUCUGUCUGUCUGUUUGUCAGUCUGUCUGUGUGCGUGUUAGCGCACUGAAAGAUGUGUUCCUGAGCAUUUAUUUUGGUUGAAAAUGAAUCUCUUCAAUUUUUUCCCACUUUAUCACAGCGGCUAUUGCAUUCAACAGUAAAACAAUAUUUUAUUCAGAGGCA
RNA transcript from Pomacea canaliculata, 3895 nucleotides. RefSeq lists it as uncharacterized. The record is from RefSeq and is a predicted model, not a curated record. NCBI's taxonomy places the organism in Eukaryota, Metazoa, Mollusca, Gastropoda, Architaenioglossa, Ampullariidae. The transcript has 5 exons.